AUGGCCAAGUAAUUGGAGUGGAGACUCCCGCCAGUUCCUUCUUCCGCUGACAAUCGUCAAAAUUCCUAGAACCCUAAUUGAUCUCUCUUGUAUUCUUCUUCUUCUUCUUCGUCGUCGUUAGGGGUUUCUUGUUCGUUGUGGAUGAUAGCUGCUCGAUCAUGCAUUCACUUUCGCUGCAUAUGUCCUCUCCCUAAAACCCUACCUUUUCCCUUCUCCCUCAUUUCGCCUUCUUCUCGCCGCCACUUUCUCUCCCUGAACCUUAGCUCGACUCGCAAAACCAUGUCUUCUUCCUCCCGCCCUUCCGCAUUUGACGCGCUCAUGUCCAAUGCACGCGCCGCCGCGGCUAAGAAGAAGACGACGCCUCAACCCUCCACUUCGUCUCGCUCGCCGAAGAAACGCAAAGCUGAGAAUGCCCAACCCACCGAUCCGGCGAAAGCCAGUGUUUCUGAAUCUGUAGUCGCCAAGUCGGAGAAUUCGAGAGGGCCCAUAACGGAUUCCACGAAACUCAGUUCGAAUUCGUCGCCGAUUGCGGAUGACUCAAAGAAUGAGGGGAAAAAGUUGAAGGUGCUGAGCCAAGCGGAGAAAAUUACUGAAUUGAAGAGUAAAAUUGGAUUGUUGAAGAAGAAGACAAGUGAUUUCGAUCCGAAAGCAGUGUCUUGUUGGGAGAAGGGAGAGAGAGUCCCGUUUCUUUUUCUUUGCCUGGCUUUUGAUAUGAUAUCACAUGAAACCGGUCGGAUUGUGAUCACUGAUAUUCUGUGUAACAUGUUGAGAACUGUAAUUGCGACCACUCCGGAAGAUUUGGUGGCAACUGUUUCUCUCUCGGCCAAUGAGAUUGCUCCUGCUCAUGAGGGUUUGGAGUUGGGAAUCGGGGAUGCUUCCAUUAAGAAGGCACUUGCCGAAGCAUUUGGCAGAACAGAGAAGCAGGUUGAUAAGGAGUAUAAGGAGCUGGGAGAUUUGGGGCUGGUAGCAAAAGCAAGCCGGUCGUCUCAAUCUAUGAUGCGGAAGCCUGAACCAUUGACGAUUGUCAAGGUCUUCGAUACAUUUCGACUAAUUGCAAAGGAAGCUGGAAAAGAUAGUCAGGAGAAGAAAAAGAACCGUAUGAAGGCACUUCUUGUGGCUGCAACAGACUGUGAACCUCAAUAUUUAACUCGUCUACUUCAGGCGAAACUGCGUAUAGGGUUCUCAGUUCAGACUCUCUUAGCUGCCCUGGGACAAGCAGCAGUAUACAAUGAAGAGCAUUCAAAGCCGCCCCCGAAUAUCCAGUCUCCUUUAGAAGAGGCUGCGAAGAUAGUUAAACAAGUAUACACCGUGCUUCCUGUCUAUGACAAGAUUGUUCCUGCUCUUCUUAGUGGUGGUAUAUGGAAUCUUCCAAAGACUUGCAACUUUACAUUGGGUGUUCCAAUUGGACCCAUGCUUGCAAAACCAACGAAAGGGGUUGCAGAGAUACUAAAUAAAUUCCAGGACAUUGUUUUUACAUGUGAAUACAAGUACGAUGGAGAACGUGCCCAGAUACAUUACAUGGAAGAUGGUUCUUUUGAGAUAUAUAGUCGAAAUGCUGAAAGAAAUACUGGAAAGUUUCCCGAUGUUGCUCUUGCAUUGUCAAGAUUAAAGAAGCCCUCUUUGAAAUCAUUUGUUUUGGAUUGUGAGCUUGUUGCUUACGAUAGAGAGAAGAAGAAAAUUCUUCCUUUCCAGAUUCUCAGCACCCGAGCCCGUAAAAAUGUGAGUGUCAAUGAUAUCAAGGUUGAUGUCUGCAUCUUUGCAUUCGACAUGUUAUAUUUAAAUGGCCAGCAGCUACUACAGGAGAAUCUGAGCACUCGCCGAGAGAAGCUAUACGAUUCAUUUGAGGAAGAACCUGGCUAUUUUCAGUUUGCAACUGCUCUAACAUCCAGUGACAUUGAAGAAAUACAGAAAUUCCUUGAUGCUGCUGUCGAUUCGAGCUGUGAAGGUUUAAUAAUUAAAACAAUGGACUUGGACGCUACCUAUGAGCCUGCAAAGCGAUCGAAUAAUUGGCUAAAACUGAAGAAAGAUUAUAUGGACAGUAUUGGUGACUCAGUGGAUCUUGUACCCAUUGGAGCUUUCCAUGGAAGAGGCAAACGCACAGGUGUCUAUGGUGCAUUUUUAUUAGCUUGCUAUGAUACUGAAAAGGAAGAAUACCAGAGCAUCUGCAAGAUUGGUACUGGAUUUUCUGAAGUGGUGCUUGAAGAACGAUCCUCUAGUCUUCGUUCUAAAACAAUUCCCGCCCCAAAGCCGUACUAUCGAGUUGGAGAUACCCUCAAUCCAGAUGUCUGGUUUGAGCCAACUGAGGUUUGGGAAGUCAAAGCUGCAGACUUGACAAUAAGCCCUGUGCACCGUGCAGCCAUUGGCAUUGUGGAUCCUGAUAAGGGAAUAUCUCUUCGAUUUCCUCGUCUUGUGCGUGUACGUGAAGACAAGCAGCCGGAGGAAGCAACAUCGUCUGAGCAGAUCGCUGAUAUGUACCAAGCUCAAAAGCACAAUCAUCCAAACAAAAAAGACGAUAGUGAAGACGAGUGAAGUUCUUAUAUAUUUUUUCCUUGCUUUGGAAGAGGGGAUCCAAUGAGUAUGUUCACCAUUAUUCAGAACUGAGAAUGCAAGCAAUGGAAUGGUCAUUCUCAAUUAGUUAAAUUCUCUGAACAUAUUCUCAUCCCUAAUUCAGUAACACAUAGAGCUUUCAUUCAA
This is an RNA transcript of Tarenaya hassleriana, 2694 nucleotides long. It is a transcript of the gene named DNA ligase 1, with no coding region annotated. NCBI's taxonomy places the organism in Eukaryota, Viridiplantae, Streptophyta, Magnoliopsida, Brassicales, Cleomaceae. The record is from RefSeq and is a predicted model, not a curated record. The transcript is spliced from 18 exons.